This 119-nucleotide ribosomal RNA is filed under the name Pteropus alecto (black flying fox). Lineage: Eukaryota; Metazoa; Chordata; Mammalia; Chiroptera; Pteropodidae. RNAcentral also lists the same sequence under 1 other name. The record is from RNAcentral.
GUCUACGGCCAUGUCACCCUGAAAAAGCUCAAUCCCAUCUGAUCUUGGAAGCUAAGUAGAGUUGGGCCUGGUUAAUACUUGGAUGGGAGACCACCUAGGAAGACCAGGUGCUGUAGGUG